This 497-nucleotide ribosomal RNA is filed under the name uncultured bacterium. Its description in RNAcentral is "partial 16S ribosomal RNA". It matches the Rfam family "Bacterial small subunit ribosomal RNA", at positions 28 to 507 of the family's 1533-position model. The record is from RNAcentral.
GAUGAACGCUGGCGGCGUGCCUAAUACAUGCAAGUCGAGCGAACGGACGAGAAGCUUGCUUCUCUGAUGUUAGCGGCGGACGGGUGAGUAACACGUGGAUAACCUACCUAUAAGACUGGGAUAACUUCGGGAAACCGGAGCUAAUACCGGAUAAUAUUUUGAACCGCAUGGUUCAAAAGUGAAAGACGGUCUUGCUGUCACUUAUAGAUGGAUCCGCGCUGCAUUAGCUAGUUGGUAAGGUAACGGCUUACCAAGGCAACGAUGCAUAGCCGACCUGAGAGGGUGAUCGGCCACACUGGAACUGAGACACGGUCCAGACUCCUACGGGGGGCAGCAGUAGGGAAUCUUCCGCAAUGGGCGAAAGCCUGGCGGAGCAACGCCGCGUGAGUGAUGAAGGUCUUCGGAUCGUAAAACUCUGUUAUUAGGGAAGAACAUAUGUGUAAGUAACUGUGCACAUCUUGACGGUACCUAAUCAGAAAGCCACGGCUAACUACGUG